Molecule: long non-coding RNA, 467 nt
Filed under: Linum usitatissimum (flax)
Lineage: Eukaryota; Viridiplantae; Streptophyta; Magnoliopsida; Malpighiales; Linaceae
Description: long non-coding RNA (LUSI_LNC001657)
Source: RNAcentral
AAGUUUAAAAUAUUAAUCAAUCACAACCAUGGAUGGAAAUCAGGGUUGAAGGAAUCUGACAGACCGAAACUGCAACAACGCGACAUUCUGAAUGACAAGACGUGCAACUCAUUCUAUUUCCUGUUCAAAGUGCCAUGUGGUAAUGCGAGACAUAAAACCAUCAUGGUAUUGAUGCGAGAACUUAUCCUGAAGCUAUUACUGGAUCUCAUUAAGUUAGAGAAGCAGCAAGUGGCUUCAGGCAUUUUCUCACUGCACUUAGCAUUGUAAUGAAUUCCACUCAGAGGUCUACCACAUGACCUGAAAAUAAGUCUUAGAGGCAAAAAAUCCAUACUGGGUAUAAACAGUGUACAGUGUAAACUUUUCAGGGUAUGGCUGGCACUAAAACACUGUAAUCUCGUCAUAAGAGGCAAGACAGCAGAGUUCAUGAUACCCAAAUAUAGAUAAUCUAACAUGUCCAAAGCUACUUG